UACGUAGGGUGCGAGCGUUAAUCGGAAUCACUGGGCGUAAAGCGCACGUAGGCGGACUCUUAAGUCGGUGGUGAAAUCCUGGAGCUCAACUCCAGAACUGCCUUCGAUACUGAGAGUCUCGAGUCCGGGAGAGGUGAGUGGAACUGCGAGUGUAGAGGUGAAAUUCGUAGAUAUUCGCAAGAACACCAGUAGCGAAGGCGGCUCACUGGCCCGGUACUGACGCUGAGGUGCGAAAGCGUGGGGAGCAAACAGG
RNAcentral lists this ribosomal RNA (253 nucleotides) under uncultured bacterium. RNAcentral's name for it is "partial 16S ribosomal RNA". It matches the Rfam family "Bacterial small subunit ribosomal RNA", at positions 524 to 776 of the family's 1533-position model. The record is from RNAcentral.